UUGGCAUCUGGUAUCCAUGUUUCUCUUUGUUUUAGGAGACUAGUAUAAGUCCAUUGAUUGGCAUCUGGUAUCCUUGUUUCUUUGCUUUGUGAGACUAGUAUAAGUCCAUUGAUUGGCAUCUGGUAUCCUUGUUUCUUUGCUUUGUGAGACUAGUAUAAGUCCAUUGAUUGGCAUCUGGUAUCCAUGUUCCAUUUUGUUUUGUGAGAUUGGUAUAAGUCCAUUGAUUGGCGUCCGGUAUCCAUUUUGUUUU
Molecule: long non-coding RNA, 250 nt
Filed under: Lathyrus oleraceus (garden pea)
Lineage: Eukaryota; Viridiplantae; Streptophyta; Magnoliopsida; Fabales; Fabaceae
Description: Pisum sativum (pea) long non-coding RNA (PSAT_LNC022729)
Source: RNAcentral